Molecule: ribosomal RNA, 492 nt
Filed under: uncultured bacterium
Lineage: Bacteria
Description: partial 16S ribosomal RNA
Rfam family: Bacterial small subunit ribosomal RNA
Source: RNAcentral
AUUGAACGCUGGCGGCAUGCUUUACACAUGCAAGUCGAACGGUAACAGGCCUUCGGGUGCUGACGAGUGGCGAACGGGUGAGUAAUGCAUCGGAACGUGCCCAGAGGUGGGGGAUAACGCAGCGAAAGCUGUGCUAAUACCGCAUGUGAUCUGAGGGUGAAAGCGGGGGACCAGGCAGCAAUGUUUGGCCUCGCGCCUUUGGAGCGGCCGAUGUCAGAUUAGGUAGUUGGUGGGGUAAAGGCCUACCAAGCCGACGAUCUGUAGCUGGUCUGAGAGGACGACCAGCCACACUGGGACUGAGACACGGCCCAGACUCCUACGGGAGGCAGCAGUGGGGAAUUUUGGACAAUGGGCGCAAGCCUGAUCCAGCAAUGCCGCGUGCGGGAAGAAGGCCUUCGGGUUGUAAACCGCUUUUGUACGGAACGAAAAGGCUCUGGCUAAUACCUGGGGCUGAUGACGGUACCGUAAGAAUAAGCACCGGCUAACUACGUG